CCUGGCUCAGGAUGAACGCUGGCGGCGUGCCUAACACAUGCAAGUCGACGGGGUUAUGACGCUGAGGAGACUUCGGUCAAAUCUUGUUGUAACUAGUGGCGGACGGGUGAGUAACGCGUGGAUAACCUGCCAUACACAGGGGGAUAACAGUUAGAAUGACUGCUAAUACCGCAUAAGCGCACGAGGGGGCAUCCUCUUGUGUGAAAAGCGCAUACGGUGUAUGAUGGGUCCGCGUCCGAUUAGCCAGUUGGCGGGGUAAGAGCCCACCAAAGCGACGAUCGGUAGCCGGCCUGAGAGGGUGAACGGCCACAUUGGGACUGAGAGACGGCCCAAACUCCUACGGGAGGCAGCAGUGGGGGAUAUUGCACAAUGGGGGGAACCCUGAUGCAGCCGACGCCGCGUGAGUGAAGAAGUUAUUCGUAAUGUAAAGCUCUAUCAGCAGGGAAGAAACAGACGGUACCUGACUAAGAAGCACCGGCCAAAUACGUGCCAGCAGCCGC
Molecule: ribosomal RNA, 500 nt
Filed under: uncultured bacterium
Lineage: Bacteria
Description: bacterial SSU rRNA
Rfam family: Bacterial small subunit ribosomal RNA
Source: RNAcentral